GAUGAACGCUAGCGGCAGGCUUAAUACAUGCAAGUCGAGGGGCAGCAUGGGUAGCAAUACCUGAUGGCGACCGGCAAACGGGUGCGGAACACGUACGCAACCUUCCCAAAACUGGUGAAUAGCCCUCCGAAAGGAGGAUUAAUACACCGUAACAUAAUGAAGUGGCAUCACUUUAUUAUUAUAGCUCCGGCGGUUUUGGAUGGGCGUGCGCCUGAUUAGGUAGUUGGCGGGGAACGGGCCCACCAAGCCUGCGAUCAGUAACUGGUGUGAGAGCACGACCAGUCACACGGGCACUGAGACACGGGCCCGACUCCUACGGGAGGCAGCAGUAAAGGAAUAUUGGUCAAUGGACGAAAGUCUGAACCAGCAUGCCGCGUGAAGGAUGAAGGUCCUCUGGA
This 398-nucleotide ribosomal RNA is filed under the name uncultured bacterium. Its description in RNAcentral is "bacterial SSU rRNA". It matches the Rfam family "Bacterial small subunit ribosomal RNA", at positions 28 to 422 of the family's 1533-position model. The record is from RNAcentral.